AAUGAACGCUGGCGGCAGGCCUAACACAUGCAAGUCGAGCGAGCAUUUCGGUGCUAGCGGCGGACGGGUGCGUAACGCGUGGGAACGUGCCCUUUUCUGCGGAAUAGUCCUGGGAAACUGGGGGUAAUACCGCAUACGCCCUUUUGGGGAAAGAUUUAUCGGAGAAGGAUCGGCCCGCGUUGGAUUAGGUAGUUGGUGGGGUAAUGGCCCACCAAGCCGACGAUCCAUAGCUGGUUUGAGAGGAUGAUCAGCCACACUGGGACUGAGACACGGCCCAGACUCCUACGGGAGGCAGCAGUGGGGAAUCUUAGACAAUGGGGGCAACCCUGAUCUAGCCAUGCCGCGUGAGUGAUGAAGGCCUUAGGGUUGUAAAGCUCUUUCAGCUGGGAAGAUAAUGACGGUACCAGCAGAAGAAGCCCCGGCUAACUCCGUG
Molecule: ribosomal RNA, 433 nt
Filed under: uncultured bacterium
Lineage: Bacteria
Description: partial 16S ribosomal RNA
Rfam family: Bacterial small subunit ribosomal RNA
Source: RNAcentral